AAACCGGUGUGCAGUAGGAAUCAGCGUACGUCAACCGGUGUGCAGUAGGAAUCAGCGUACGUCAACCGGUGUGCAGUAGGAAUCAGCGUACGUCAACCGGUGUGCAGUAGGAAUCAGCGUACGUCAACCGGUGUGCAGUAGGAAUCAGCGUACGUCAACCGGUGUGCAGUAGGAAUCAGCGUACGUCAACCGGUGUGCAGUAGGAAUCAGCGUACGUCAACCGGUGUGCAGUAGGAAUCAGCGUGUAUCAAUAGUCGAGCAAACCUCAUCAGACUGGUUUGAAGCAGUAGAGACAUGUACAUUAUGGUCACCGGGCAGCAUUGCAAAAGGUCAAUUUGCAAAAGGAAUAACUACUUUUCUUUCGAAUGUAAAUAUUGUUGACGGAACAUAUUACUGGACUAAUCUGGUGAAGAAAAUCUAUCUGCCGGAUGACGGCUAUACCUUACCGCACGCUGACUUAUAUUUGGGAUGUGGAUACGUCGUCAAGUCCGCGCCAAAUAUCCAAUACGGUGAUUGCUGUCAAGAAAUGGCUGUUAAUUGCGACAACAAUAAUGACAGAAAUGAUAAAGAUCGAGAAAAAGAUGUUCUUUACGAUAAAAGUACUCUCCGAAAUGACAUAAGUCGAAACAAUGCCGUCGUUUGUGUCAACAGUACUGUCUUUUGUGAUCGAGAUAAUAUCUAUGGAUGAUCUGUGCCAAUUACACCAAGUGACGUAUAUUGGUGUUUCUGUCGGUGGAUUCAUUAGUCUUAUCGCAUUCAUCGUAGCAGCAACGAUCAUAUAUAAACGGAGAAACUGCACCAAAAAGGAUUCAAUUAAUGAACGAACGCAUACAUGUGGCAAAAGUGAUAAUUCAAAUGAAAGCCGAUAUGUUAACGUCACCAAUAUUUACACAGAAAUAAAUGAAGCCCACCUGGAUGGUCCGAGAGAAUUUAAUGACAAUGCUAACAGAAUCGAUUACGCAUCUGAUUGCUACUCUGGUUAGGACUAUGAAUCUUUGUCGUCUGCAGAGGACAGAGUGAAUUAUCCGCUGUAUGGUCAAAUGUUGAAUAAUGAACAAAUCUCGGACGACAGGCUCACCGUCGGUUGUGGGUUCAAAGAAGAUUAUCAAACGGAAAAAGUAUAUAAAGGCAAGCGCUAUGAAAAUAUUGAGAUAUAAACAUUAUGAGCACGCGGGCAUUAGCUAGUUAACUCUGAAGCCUGCGUCGAACUAAAUACAUGGUAUGAGGUCGAACAGUUCAAUGUACGGAACAACUUGCUUAUUUAAAUGUAUGUAAUGCCAGCUCUAUUAUUAAGAUUAUUUGUUAAAGAGUUAGAGCAUUAUUUUCAGUGCAACAUUGAUGCAGGCUUAAGUAUUGAUGAUUUUAUUGUAAUUUUGUAAUUGCUUCUUGAUGACAUUGCUAUCAUAAAACUCCUGAGGAAACUCAGAGACAUGUAGAUUUUUCAUAUUGUUGUACGUAUAACAACAAAAAAUGAAUUUCCGAAAAUGUGAGGCGUUAUAAGCAAACGAAAAAUGGAUCUAUAAAAGCCAACUUAU
Molecule: long non-coding RNA, 1535 nt
Organism: Dreissena polymorpha
Lineage: Eukaryota; Metazoa; Mollusca; Bivalvia; Myida; Dreissenidae
Exons: 5
Source: RefSeq, a predicted model, not a curated record